This 433-nucleotide ribosomal RNA is filed under the name uncultured bacterium. RNAcentral's name for it is "partial 16S ribosomal RNA". It matches the Rfam family "Bacterial small subunit ribosomal RNA", at positions 29 to 507 of the family's 1533-position model. The record is from RNAcentral.
AACGAACGCUGGCGGCAUGCCUAACACAUGCAAGUCGAACGAGACCUUCGGGUCUAGUGGCGCACGGGUGCGUAACGCGUGGGAACCUGCCCUUAGGUUCGGAAUAACUCCCCGAAAGGGGUGCUAAUACCGGAUAAUGUCUUCGGACCAAAGAUUUAUCGCCUUUGGAUGGGCCUGCGUUGGAUUAGCUAGUUGGUAGGGUAAAAGCCUACCAAGGCGACGAUUCAUAGCUGGUCUGAGAGGAUGAUCAGCCACACUGGGACUGAGACACGGCCCAGACUCCUACGGGAGGCAGCAGUGGGGAAUAUUGGACAAUGGGCGAAAGCCUGAUCCAGCAAUGCCGCGUGAGUGAUGAAGGCCUUAGGGUUGUAAAGCUCUUUUACCCGGGAUGAUAAUGACAGUACCGGGAGAAUAAGCUCCGGCUAACUCCGUG